Molecule: ribosomal RNA, 465 nt
Filed under: Vreelandella stevensii
Lineage: Bacteria; Pseudomonadati; Pseudomonadota; Gammaproteobacteria; Oceanospirillales; Halomonadaceae
Description: partial 16S ribosomal RNA
Rfam family: Bacterial small subunit ribosomal RNA
Source: RNAcentral
CCUACGGGGGGCUGCAGUGGGGAAUAUUGGACAAUGGGCGAAAGCCUGAUCCAGCCAUGCCGCGUGUGUGAAGAAGGCCUUCGGGUUGUAAAGCACUUUCAGUGGGGAAGAAAGCCUUGGGGCUAAUACCCUCGAGGAAGGACAUCACCCACAGAAGAAGCACCGGCUAACUCCGUGCCAGCAGCCGCGGUAAUACGGAGGGUGCGAGCGUUAAUCGGAAUUACUGGGCGGAAAGCGCGCGUAGGCGGUCUGAUAAGCCGGUUGUGAAAGCCCCGGGCUCAACCUGGGAACGGCAUCCGGAACUGUCAGGCUAGAGUGCAGGAGAGGAAGGUAGAAUUCCCGGUGUAGCGGUGAAAUGCGUAGAGAUCGGGAGGAAUACCAGUGGCGAAGGCGGCCUUCUGGACUGACACUGACGCUGAGGUGCGAAAGCGUGGGUAGCAAACAGGAUUAGAUACCCGAGUAGUC